CUCCUCGCUGGCUUGGAGAAGAAGAUCCGCUCAGAUGCUUCACUAUAUCCUAGUCUGGCAAUGGAGGCACACUCGGCAACUGUCAGAGCAGGGAUUAUUAAGGAAGUGGAAAGCAUUGUGGAGCAAGCCCUGAAACUGUACAGCGCUGACAGGGUUGGAUUGGUGGAUUAUGCACUGGAAUCUGCUGGUGGCAGUGUGAUCCACACACGCUGCACAGAGACGUUAGAGACCAAGACU
This is a long non-coding RNA of Amblyraja radiata (thorny skate), 237 nucleotides long. RefSeq lists it as uncharacterized. The record is from RefSeq and is a predicted model, not a curated record. Lineage: Eukaryota; Metazoa; Chordata; Chondrichthyes; Rajiformes; Rajidae. The transcript is spliced from 3 exons.